CAAGUAAAUUAGAUAGCCGCUGCCAGUUUAAAAAAUUGGUAGAGGAAAGUCCGGGCGUCGAAUCUUAUGCCCCGCCGAGCGGGGUAAAGGGGAAAGCGGCAGUGGGCAACACCCACCGUUCGCAAGGAUAGGGAAAGUGCCACAGAGACAAUACUUCUUUGCUUUAGGGGUAAUCUCCUAAAGCGAGGUAAAGGUGAAAAGUGAGGGAUUAAGACCCCUCUCUCCGCGGGGAGACCCGUUGGAGCGGUAAACCCUGCCUGACGCAAGAGCAAAUCCCGACGCAAGGUCGGGAGCAAAGUAGCUCGCUAGAGGCCGGCAGCAAUGCCGGUCCCAGACAGAUGGCUAUCUCCCCGCAGAACUGCGGGGAACAGAACCCGGCUUAUUAUUUACUUGGGCU
Molecule: non-coding RNA, 397 nt
Organism: Parcubacteria group bacterium CG1_02_44_65
Lineage: Bacteria
Source: Rfam